CUUAAACCUCCUUUUUGCUUUUACUUCAGGAACACCAUGAAGAAGACUUCUUUCUAUACAUUGCCUACAGUGAUGAAAGCGUCUACGGUCUGUGAAGUUGCUGUCCCGGAGGUGGGGGUUCCAUUCUACAAAGAGAGGUGGCGCUCCUUCCUUGGCAUCCAGUUCCUCCUUCAGGCUCAAACACCAUCUCCUUUCUUCAGGACCUGCACUUAAUGUUUGAGGCUGUCUCUCCAGUCCCUCUGAGCAGGAGGGGUAAUGGUAGAUGCAGCCGCUGUACAUCUCUCUUUCCCCUUGUUUACCCUCCAUUCCCACUCUGCUUUAGACUUCUGGAUUGUCGAUCUCUGUCACAUCGGAUGAUUGUUUUGGUUUCUAUUCCCUUUCUAACUGCCCACUGGGCUCAGAACCCCAAUAAACCCUUCCUUUCACUACCUUCUUUUUGGGGGGUAGAUGGAAGGGGUUGACAUUGGGUGGGGGAGGUAGGAGGCACAUCAAUAAAGAGGAAACCACCGAGCUGAAUUGAAUUUGCCCUGUGUCAUUCUACCUCCUGGCUUUUUGUUUCAAGUGUUGUGAACUUCAGUGGUGGGAAAGGAGGAUUGAGGUAUAGAUCAGAGAACUAGGAAGGCAUUGAUGAUGUUGGUCUUUCCUCCUUUUUUGAUGAGUGGAAUAAUGUAAGCAUUCUCUCAUGAAACUUUAAUUGUAUUUAUGUAUUUGUGAUGUAAACAAAGAGGUGGAGGUUGGUAGUGUGGGGUGGUAUGGAGAAAGUUUGAAAGAACUAUUUUUUGGUAAACAUGUCCAAAUGUUACUUCCCAUUAAAGAAGAUAUGUUCCUGUUUGGGAGGUGGU
Molecule: long non-coding RNA, 842 nt
Filed under: Rattus norvegicus (Norway rat)
Lineage: Eukaryota; Metazoa; Chordata; Mammalia; Rodentia; Muridae
Description: long non-coding RNA NONRATT004468
Source: RNAcentral